Molecule: ribosomal RNA, 476 nt
Filed under: uncultured anaerobic ammonium-oxidizing bacterium
Lineage: Bacteria
Description: bacterial SSU rRNA
Rfam family: Bacterial small subunit ribosomal RNA
Source: RNAcentral
UUCGCAAUGCCCGAAAGGGUGACGAAGCGACGCGGCGUGUGGGAAGAAGGCCUUCGGGUCGUAAACCACUGUCAGGAGUUAGGAAGUGCAAGGGCGUUAAUAGCGUUCUUGCUUGACUAAGGCUCCGGAGGAAGCCACGGCUAACUCUGUGCCAGCAGCCGCGGUAGUACAGAGGUGGCGAGCGUUGUUCGGUAUUAUUGGGCGUAAAGAGCACGUAGGUGGUUUUGUAAGUCAGGUGUGAAAGCCUUCUGUUCAAAGGAAGAACGGCAUCUGAAACUGCAGAUCUUGAGUGUAGGAGGGGAGAGUGGAACUUCUGGUGGAGCGGUGAAAUGCGUAGAUAUCAGAAGGAACGUCGGCGGCGAAAGCGACUCUCUGGCCUAUUACUGACACUGAGGUGCGAAAGUUAGGGGAGCAAACGGGAUUAGAUACCCCGGUAGUCCUAACCGUAAACGAUGGGCACUAAGUAGAGGGGUUUU